CUACCCGAGAGAUGAGACGCGUGCCGUUUCCAUGGGAACCAUGCGCCUCACUCGACACUGUACCUGGAACGCAGGUACACGUACAGUCGGUGUUGAACGGUUAUAAGGAAUAUCUGCAGAUGUUACUUGGAAACAUGCAAAUAAGUGUUUUCUGAUGCAUCUCUGUAAGGAAAAGGAGCAACUGAAGGUCCUCCAGACUGCCGAUCUGACCUUGUCUCCCACGUGCAUGCGGGUGGACAAAAAGACAGCGCUGCUGUAAGGGUACGCGGAAGCGCCCAUAUGGAGUCCCCGCAGUGUGUGCACGUGCCGCCUGGUGGGUAUGUGGAUAUGUGGAAGUCGGCAACCUUCCUACCCACUUUGCAUCCAUGUGCUCAAUCCGCAGGAACUGCCUUCCCACAUUCAGGCUUCCCCACACCAUGUACACCGGACAGUCUCUGUGAUCGGGUAAUGUUUGGGGUUCUGGGCACUUUUUGGAGAACAUAUAAAAUGCAAGGGUUCCAAGAG
Rattus rattus (black rat) is the source of this 504-nucleotide long non-coding RNA. RefSeq lists it as uncharacterized. The record is from RefSeq and is a predicted model, not a curated record. Lineage: Eukaryota; Metazoa; Chordata; Mammalia; Rodentia; Muridae. The transcript is spliced from 2 exons.